GACGAUAGAAGGCCAUCUUUGCUAGCCUAUUUAUCCCAUAUUUGUUCUAUAUAUUUAUAUGAUCCUAGUUCACCCCCUUUGAGCCUAAUUUUUCCAUAUUCUUUGUCGUAGCCAUGGGUGGGAGCUUGGAGAUUGUUGAUAUGAGAUAAUUGGGUUGUGGAGAUGAGUGAUCAUGAAUUGUGAAUUCGGUUUUUGAAUGGAAAAGUCCUAGUACCAUACUUUGAAAAAGAAAAGAAAAGAAAAAAGAAAGAAAGAAAAAAGAAGAACAAAUGAAAAGAAAAAAAGAGGUACAUAGGAUGCAUUAGAGAGACAUAAUGUCAUGAGAAAUAAUUGUUGAGUUGUAAUGGUUCUUGUAUUGAAAAAAAUUGGUUUUGUGAGAGGUGGAGAAUUGAAUUGAUUAAGGAUGCUAUAAGGUUGGUGAUUGAGCUACAUUGAGACGUAUCUUUUAGUCACUUAGCCAA
This 461-nucleotide long non-coding RNA is filed under the name Salvia miltiorrhiza (redroot sage). RNAcentral describes it as "long non-coding RNA (SMIL_LNC003495)". Lineage: Eukaryota; Viridiplantae; Streptophyta; Magnoliopsida; Lamiales; Lamiaceae. The record is from RNAcentral.